Molecule: unclassified non-coding RNA, 739 nt
Filed under: Hevea brasiliensis (rubber tree)
Lineage: Eukaryota; Viridiplantae; Streptophyta; Magnoliopsida; Malpighiales; Euphorbiaceae
Source: RNAcentral
UCUUCUUCUUCUUCUCCUUCUUCUCACUUCUAUCAGCCUCACCAUUACUUCUACCAUCAUCAACGGUUGCAGCCUCCCCAGCCUCUUUGUCUUUCUUCUUCUUCUUCUUUUUCUUCAUUUUGUUCCUUUUCUAAACCCUCUUGUUUAAUCCCUGUGUUGUUGAGAUUGCUAUGAAAUAUUUCACUCAAUGUGGGUGGUUCAGCUAGAUAUCUAGUUCCCUGAAGAGCGUCGUCCAGAUUAUUUGAGAGCUGAGAGAGAGUGUGAGCAAUGGAGUCAAAACCUCUGAGCAAAAGCAACGAGUCCUCCUUCAUUCUCUUAGCUCGAUCAGAUUCUCCUACAUUCACACGGGUGGCUGAAGAUGGGUCAAGAUUGACUUGAUCUUGGCCAAUGGAAACCUUCCCUUGGCGGUGCUCAAGAAGCGUGUCGAUCCGGCUACGGAGCGCACUCCAGAAACGCUUAUCCGAUGCAGAGCUGAACAGAGGUGAAGAAAACAUCAAGCUUGUAGACUCCUUGUUGAUGUGGGUAGGAGGAGAUGGAGAAUAAUCCAGUGAAGCAGCCAUGAGAGAAGGAUGGAGGGAGAGAUAUGAAACGGCUAGUUUCAGGAAGAGAGUAUAAUGAUGUGGAUUUAAAAAGAUGGAGAUCGGAGAUUGUGGCUAACGUUAUAAAAUGGAUCUGACAUAUUGAGGUAGUUGGGUCCCAUCCUUUCCAAUGAUCAAAGCGGCGAUGCCUUUAAAAGCGC